This 544-nucleotide ribosomal RNA is filed under the name uncultured Glomeromycotina. RNAcentral describes it as "SSU rRNA". It matches the Rfam family "Eukaryotic small subunit ribosomal RNA", at positions 548 to 1098 of the family's 1831-position model. Lineage: Eukaryota; Fungi; Glomeromycota. The record is from RNAcentral.
UUGGAGGGCAAGUCUGGUGCCAGCAGCCGCGGUAAUUCCAGCUCCAAUAGCGUAUAUUAAAGUUGUUGCAGUUAAAAAGCUCGUAGUUGAAUUUCGGGGUUCUACCGUUGGUCGGGCUUUGUCUGUACUGGUGUGUAGAAUUUCUACCUUCUGGGGAACCAUCAUGCUAUUAAUUUAGCGUGGUGGGAAACCAGGACCUUUACCUUGAAAAAAUUAGUGUGUUCAAAGCAGGCUUAUGUCUGAAUACAUUAGCGUGGAAUAAUAGAAUAGGACGGUGGUCCUGUUUUGUUGGUUUCUGAAUCACCGUAAUGAUUAAUAGGGAUAGUUGGGGGCAUUAGUAUUCAAUUGUCAGAGGUGAAAUUCUUGGAUUUAUUGAAGACUAACUUCUGCGAAAGCAUUUGCCAAGGAUGUUUUCAUUAAUCAAGAACGAAAGUUAGGGGAUCGAAGACGAUCAGAUACCGUCGUAAUCUUAACCAUAAACUAUGCCGACUAGGGAUCGGACGAUGUUAAUUUUUCUUGACUCGUUCGGCGCCUUACGGGAAAC